This 424-nucleotide long non-coding RNA is filed under the name Homo sapiens (human). RNAcentral describes it as "LNC_000320". Lineage: Eukaryota; Metazoa; Chordata; Mammalia; Primates; Hominidae. The record is from RNAcentral.
GACAAAGGAGGAGUAUUUAAGAGCUUUUUCAGAUAAUUGUGAAUAUUCUUCUUUGAUACUGCAUCAAAAUGUGAGAAGUGGUUGCAUAGAGAUUUUCACUUGAAUAAGGGCUUUCUUGGCUCCAGGUCACUGAUAGUGGUUCUCUGCAAUGCAGGAUGUGGAGAUUUGGAAUGAGAUUUAACAGAUCCCUGAUCUAACUGAAAGCUGAGCUCUGGGCCAUAUGGAUCCUUUAAAAGAGACAGAUGCAUGAAGUUUGGAGCAGUGAAUGUAAGAGCAAUAUUUGUUUUUCAUUUAAUGAUUUUGAUUUUUUAUUGUAGAGACAGUAGAGCUUGAUAUAGUUUUGGCAAAAUGAAUUUAAUAAAAAUUAUAUAUUUGAUCUAUCAUUUCCUAUUUCUGUGAUUAAACUAGGGAGAUUUACUUCAGG